CAAAGGAUGAAGGGUCUGGCAUGAAUCACCCUAUAGUUAAGGUCCUUUGACUAGGUUGACUGUUGUUUGUGCUCAGUGUAUGCAUGUGUGUGUGUGCAUAGUUCUAUGUGUGUGCCUGGUGAGUGUGCCUGGAUGCCUUUGGAGUCCUGAUGUUUGCCCUAUCACUCUGCCUAAUUUCCUUGAGAGACUCUUUCACUGACGUGGGGUUUGCCAUUUUUUCAAUCAGACUGGCUGGACAGCAAGACUCUUGAGAGCCCCUGUUUCUGCUGACCCAUCUAUGGAAUUACAGGCAGGGGUGGCUUUUAUGUGGGUCCUGGGAUCCAAACCCAGUUUCUGCAGCACCUUAUGAAACCUCAUUGUGAAUGUUCACAAUGCUGGCAGUCCUCUCUUCUCACUAUACCUUCAUCAACUUCAUACGGAUGACAGAGUUUUCCAUCACUCCCUGUCCUGUCCUAACUUGGAAACUUCCAACACCAUGCCAAAGCAGGCAGAUGUCACUAGUGAUGCCAUAUCACAACCCUCAAGGCCUUCCUUCAGGUUGGAAAAUCAAAAUAUUACUCACCUUAGAAGUCAAUGGCCUCAAAGGCUCUAAUUAUGUACACUAAAUAUCCAUGUGGAUAUGAACACUGUGGAUUGGCUGUGGCUUUCAUGCAGGGACCUGGCCUCCUUUGCUGUCCCUCCACCCAGAGACACGGCUAGUUGAGCUGGAUAACAAAUAUCCCUGGUGGACAGAGACCUGUUGUGCUCUGAUUUUCCAGUUCGUUCUGCUGCACCACCCCUAGCACAGUUGCUGUCACCAGAGUCCUUUGUCACAGUACCUACUGCUCACAUCACACGGAGGCC
Molecule: long non-coding RNA, 843 nt
Filed under: Mus spicilegus (steppe mouse)
Lineage: Eukaryota; Metazoa; Chordata; Mammalia; Rodentia; Muridae
Description: lncRNA (ENSMSIG00000002608.1)
Source: RNAcentral